RNAcentral lists this ribosomal RNA (443 nucleotides) under uncultured bacterium. RNAcentral describes it as "partial 16S ribosomal RNA". It matches the Rfam family "Bacterial small subunit ribosomal RNA", at positions 338 to 795 of the family's 1533-position model. The record is from RNAcentral.
CCUACGGGUGGCAGCAGUGGGGAAUAUUGGGCAAUGGGCGCAAGCCUGACCCAGCAACGCCGCGUGAAGGAAGAAGGCUUUCGGGUUGUAAACUUCUUUUCUCAGGGACGAAGGAAGUGACGGUACCUGAGGAAUAAGCCACGGCUAACUACGUGCCAGCAGCCGCGGUAAUACGUAGGUGGCAAGCGUUAUCCGGAUUUAUUGGGUGUAAAGGGCGUGUAGGCGGGAGCGCAAGUCAGAUGUGAAAACUCAGGGCUCAACCCUGAGCCUGCAUUUGAAACUGUGUUUCUUGAGGGCUGGAGAGGAGAGGGGAAUGCGGGGUGUAGGGGGGAAAUGCGAAGAAAUAGGGAGGAACAGCAGUGGAGAGGGGGUAUAGCGGGAAAAUAACUGACGCUGGGGAGCGAAAGCGUGGGGAGAAAACAGGAUUAGAUACCCGGGUAGUC